Molecule: ribosomal RNA, 253 nt
Filed under: uncultured bacterium
Lineage: Bacteria
Description: partial 16S ribosomal RNA
Rfam family: Bacterial small subunit ribosomal RNA
Source: RNAcentral
UACGUAGGGUGCAAGCGUUGUCCGGAAUUAUUGGGCGUAAAGAGCUCGUAGGCGGUCUGUCGCGUCGGCUGUGAAAUCCCGGAGCUCAACUCCGGGUCUGCAGUCGAUACGGGCAAACUGGAGUACUGCAGGGGAGACUGGAAUUCCUGGUGUAGCGGUGAAAUGCGCAGAUAUCAGGAGGAACACCAAUGGCGAAGGCAGCUCGCUGGGACGGUACUGACGCUGAGACGCGAAAGCGUGGGGAGCGAACAGG